This 274-nucleotide ribosomal RNA is filed under the name uncultured bacterium. RNAcentral describes it as "partial 16S ribosomal RNA". It matches the Rfam family "Bacterial small subunit ribosomal RNA", at positions 523 to 796 of the family's 1533-position model. The record is from RNAcentral.
AUACGGAGGGUGCGAGCGUUAAUCGGAAUUACUGGGCGUAAAGCGUACGUAGGCGGUUGGUUAAGUUAGAUGUGAAAGCCCCGGGCUUAACCUGGGAACUGCAUUUAAAACUGGCGAACUAGAGUUGAGUAGAGGGGAGUGGAAUUUCAGGUGUAGCGGUGAAAUGCGUAGAGAUCUGAAGGAACACCGGUGGCGAAGGCGACUCCCUGGACUCGAACUGACGCUGAGGUACGAAAGCGUGGGUAGCAAACGGGAUUAGAAACCCCAGUAGUCC